Long non-coding RNA from Homo sapiens (human), 1863 nucleotides. Ensembl annotates it as long intergenic non-protein coding RNA 670. Lineage: Eukaryota; Metazoa; Chordata; Mammalia; Primates; Hominidae. The record is from Ensembl.
ACAGUUGAAAUAACUCCUUCGUGGAGGCUGGCUACAUUUUCACAACGUCUGGUCCCAAGCUAGAUCUUCGGGAAAAGGGAUCAAGGAAAUGACUAUUCCUCCAAAUAAAAUGCAACAAGAAGAAUGAAAAAACGUAGAAGAGAAAGCCUCGUGAAACUGAGAAGCAUCUGCAACCACAAACUACAAAAUGUAGCUGCUAAACAAAAUGAAAGUUGGAUCAAAGUGGUGGCAAAUAUCAAGAGUGAAUAUACUCCACGGCAGAGUACUGCAAAUGCUGCACAUCUUUCAUGGAUUCUGGUCCACCUCGUCCUCACGCGGGGAUGCAGACUGACAAGCUUCCACCAUGAAGGGUUGUCAUUUGCCAUAGCAGGGAGAGGAAAAUGGAGCAAAUCAGUCACCAGCUCGUCAUACAGAAGAGUGUCCCACGUCAUAUCUGCUGAUAUGUUAUGGCCAAAGUACAUGACUAUCUCCAAGGAGCUGAGAGGUGAAAUUCGGACAUUUGUCUGGACGGAGUAGAACCAAGAGAGUCGUAAACAUCCUGUGGACUACACACCGUUUAACAAGAUGCAACAGUAUUCUGGAUUCCAGUGCUGCAACUAUAUUCAAUAAAUGGGCCUUGUUCAAAUCCUGAGUACAAAUACUGUCUUCUCUUUAACGGAGCUGUUUCAUGCUUCUGCCUUUCUGUAGAAGGAAAACAACGUCCAUUCUCAGGCUUAUCUGAAUCUAGCACCACUUUUCACAAGUUAUUUUUGCUUCAAGCUACUUUAUGUGGUUCUCUAUUAAUUUCCUAUCUCCACCCUCAACAGUAAGGAGAUACUAAAAACUGUCCAUUUGGUUCCGCUUGUGGGAUUUUACUGAUUUUUAAUUUUGCAAUACUGUCUUGCAUAUUUUAAAUCUGCGUAUCUCUAAGAUGACUCUCCAGAGCUGAUGAAUUUUCUCUUCCAUGCUGAUGAGCCAGCCAUGGGAGAGUGGAGGAGUGGGGGAGGAAAGAGUUACUGUCUCGCGAGCUGUGAGUCUGCCUGCCCACAGCGGCGUUUUGGAUGAGACUCAUUAUUUGUGGAAAUGGUGUGUUCCACAGGCAAAAAUAACUUUUUAAAAAAAGAACAUCUCUGCACUCUCCUGAAGUCAUCUCAAAAUGAAUUCAAGAUUUCUCAUGAAAUGGAGAAAGCUUUCUGAUGGCCUGAAUGGUUCCUUGUGUACUUGACCAUGCCACGUUAAAUCUAAUCUAGGUAACAUUAGGGUCCAGAAAAAGCUAAUAGAGGCUUAAUGAUGAGGUAAUGAGCACAGAGGUCAAGGGUAGGAAACAGGUUUUCUAUUUGGAGCCUCAUAGCCAUGGGAAAAUCUCAGUUGAGAACCAGAAAGAAGCAGAAAGGAGCAAUUGAAGUAGAAGAAUAUGCUCCCUUUCCUUUACCUGAUUUUAAAUUAAACAUGAAGGACACCACGUUUUGGAUAAUAACUUGUGUUCACAUGAGGACCUGUUAAGGAAAAAAGAGAAAAAAGGAAGGAAAGGGAGAAGGUAAAUAGGGGAGAGAACAGGUAAAGGAAGAAUUGACAAGAUGUCUGAAAAAAAAUAACCAGGCCGGGCCCAGUGGCUCAUGCCUGUAAUCCCAAUACUUUGGGAGGCCGAAGUGGGUGAAUCACCUGAGGUUGGGAGUUCGAGACCAGCCUGACCAACAUGGAGAAACCCCAUCUCUACUAAAAACACAAAAUUAGCCAGGCAUGGUGGCGCAUGCCUGUAAUCCCAGCUACUCAGGAGGCUGAGGCAGGAGAAUCGCUUGAACCCGGGAGGCAAAGGUUGCCGUGAGCCGAGAUCGCGCCAUUGCACUCCAGCCUGGGCACCAAGAGCGAAACUCCGUCAAAAAA